This is a non-coding RNA of Cricetulus griseus (Chinese hamster), 1100 nucleotides long. Lineage: Eukaryota; Metazoa; Chordata; Mammalia; Rodentia; Cricetidae. The record is from RefSeq and is a predicted model, not a curated record.
AUUGACAUGUGAAGCAUGUCAAUUGUUCCUAAUUUGAACUAAUAAAAAAUUACAAAAAAGAAGCAAAACCCCCCAAAAAAUAUUUCAAGAUAAUAUAGUGCAAAAAAUGAAAACAUAAUUAUAUGUUUCUCAAAUUUCCCCAAAGGCCAAAAAGAGUUAAAACCAAAAAUGCAAUCAGUAAGAAUUAGAUUAUUUUCAAGUUUUUCACCUAAAACUAUUCUUGGAGUAGCCUGAGAAUCUGCAACAUCAAACUGCCUACAAAAUGUAGCAAAUAAAACUAGAGCCUUCCAGCAAGUUCUUCCUCCAUGAAACUGUUAUGUUUUGAUACUGUUCAUAAUUUUGUUUCAUAUAUAAUACCAGUUGGAUAUAAAUUUCCAUGCAUACAUGGGAAACCCCAAUUGUUUUCUACUUCAGCAUUUUCUAUGAUUAUUUCUCAGUUACCUCUAAGUAUCCUGUUAACUAAUAAAAAAAGUCUCCUUAAGUUCAUGAUUAAAAUUGUCAUAAAUUUUAAAGAUCCAAAAUCUUAAAUUAAGAAAGCCUUAAGUUUAAAUCUUUAAAAGUUAAUGACCAUUGUUCACUGGAUUUUAUUGUUUUUUUUUUAGUUUUAUGCUUUUCCCUUGAUCUGAUAAAAGAUCAGACUCUGGCAUUGUUUUAUACAGCAUAAAGACAAAUUUUAUACAGUAUUCCAAAUUCCUAAUGCAUGAUUAGUAGUGAAUGAACAUCAGUUUGACAUUUGAAAAUAUGGCUGGCUGUGUCUUGGAUAUUCUCCGCUGUCAGAAAAUGAAUGAAGUACCAGAUGGCUCCUGAUCUGAUGCACCUGACCAAGACAUCCAGAGACCACCAGAUGAGUGAAAUAUUUGAAAGCAGAUGACAAAUCCAUCAAAAGGAGAUCUCCCAAGGGGGCCUCUUAGCAAGGCAGAAAGUCAUGGCAGAAGACUAUCAUGGAGGAAAGACACUUUCAGCAGUCAAAAAAGAGAGAAUGGGCUGGAGAGAUGGCUCAGAAGUUAAGAGCACUGGCUGCUAUACCAGGGUUCCUGCAUUCAAUUCCCAGUAACCACAUGGUACCUCACAACCGUCUGUAAUGAGAUCCGAUGCCCUCU